Long non-coding RNA from Anguilla rostrata (American eel), 603 nucleotides. RefSeq lists it as uncharacterized. Lineage: Eukaryota; Metazoa; Chordata; Actinopteri; Anguilliformes; Anguillidae. The transcript has 3 exons. The record is from RefSeq and is a predicted model, not a curated record.
CUUUGUGAAACGGCCCUAUGCUUAUGCGUUUGAUCAGUUUUCCUUAGCUGAUAAAUCUCGAGACUGACAGCUAGCUAUACAUCUUAAAUAACACCGAUCCAUCUCCCCGACAGUCACCCUACCUUACGCACCUGGAUUGUAGUCAGUCACAGCCAGCUACCACAAGACAUCUAUACCAACCUGUCCUCCUCCAUCCCUCUGUGGGAAAUGUCUGUCAUCAAAAUUUGACCACCCCAAGAAGGAAAUUUUGCCUACUUUAUGCGAGGAGAACAGAUGCAAAGCAGAGCCAGGCAUUCCAGCUUCCUAACCAUGCCCGCCAGUUGAUGAAAGCCUAAAUUAUAGGCUGCACAGCAGACAUUACGGAACGGGACUUGUGGGUUCUUCAGAUACUUGGAAUACCGUCAUUGUACCCUUGAGCCAGGUACUUGCUGGAAUUCGUCAGUGUGUAAAAUGUCUAAAAUGAAAUGGCUAUCAGCAAUAAGCUAAUGUGAGGUGUGCAUGUAAGAGAAAGCUACAGUAUCUGAAAGCAUUUUAUUAUUAAUCACCCCAUGCCAAACAGUAUGCUCUAGCAGAGUUACACAUAUUAAAACCUUGUUUCAAGUA